RNAcentral lists this ribosomal RNA (16 nucleotides) under Bertiella studeri. Its description in RNAcentral is "partial 5.8S ribosomal RNA". The record is from RNAcentral. Lineage: Eukaryota; Metazoa; Platyhelminthes; Cestoda; Cyclophyllidea; Anoplocephalidae.
AAAGAACUGUAUGCGG